Scatophagus argus is the source of this 1241-nucleotide long non-coding RNA. RefSeq lists it as uncharacterized. The transcript has 3 exons. The record is from RefSeq and is a predicted model, not a curated record. Lineage: Eukaryota; Metazoa; Chordata; Actinopteri; Scatophagidae.
GAAGGACCUGUUAACAGAGAAGAGCAUGUUGGCAGCUACACCUUUCCCAUGUUGAAUUCAGUGUAAUCCUUUCUAUGAGUCCCUCAGAAAGCAAUGGCUUUUCACUCCGAUUCAUUGUGUCAUCCUGACUUAACCUGCUGUGAGAGAAGUCAUUAAAGGAGCAAGCACGCUCGCUUCCAGGCUGUUGAAAAGGAGUUUGGCUGGCUGUUUAUUAAAACACAAAAAGAGAACAUUACAAGGCCCUUCCAGAGAAUUUGUCCCUACAGAAGUUUACUAAGGAAUCCAAUGAUAAGUCUGGAUGGCAGUUACUUUGGAACUUUGGGGAAAUAUGAGCCAUCAAUUAUGUCUGCCACCUGCUCUGAUGUGUGUGUAUGCUGGACUCAGCUAAUCUGCUGCAGUGGUGUUCCACCACCAGUUCAAGAUUUGUGCUUUUCAUCCCUCCUGAGCGAGUCUCUAUGUAAUUUCAUUUAUUUAAUGUAAUAAUUAUUAUUAGAUUUUUUAACUUUCUAAUUAAAUUUCAACCAAUGUCUCUAAAAUGUAUCCAUCAUUCAUUUCAACAUUAAACCAUUACUAUAGUGAAAGAAUUUCUGUGUUUUCACCACUGACCUGAGCCUUCAAGCUCUCCUUCAUUUGCAAGCAGUGACUAUUCGGUGAUUGCAUAAUUAGUUGCUGUUACAUUGAAUCAGGUGUCAAUUUCAAGCAGAAUGUAAGUACAGACUGAGUAAUUUUCACUCACAAAUAAAGAAAGUUCUGCAUUCAUUUAUUGAAAAACUCAUGGACAGGCCCACCUGGACUCCAAUUUCAUCUGAAGUCCAGCUGGUCCUGCGGCAUUCCUUUAGAGUAGGAACUCUGUGUCUUGCAUGAAUUUUAAGAUAAAAAAAACCAAAUAAAUAAAAUUAGAAAACAUAAACAAAAGGGGUCUUUGUUUGCUUAAGCCAAUCACGCAUUACCCACACAUGUCUAAAUACUGUAGUUGUGUAUUCAGAGGGAGUUAUGGGGCAGAUGAGGGGUCAUCUCAGUGAUUAACUGGAAAGAGAAACAAGUGCUUCUCAUUUAUAAAGCUGCUCUAGCUAAUUGACAGUUAUGCAAAUAGACGUCACACUAAUGAAAGUAGUGAGAUAAUGGGUUCAGUUAAGCAUGGAGUGUAUGCUGGUGCACACGAGUAUGUGUCGACAGGAGUCUCCCAUAUCAAUCUUACUGUCCAGUGAUGUGGUUAAGCACAGCCCUUAAACACAGGCCUU